GACAAAAAUCUCUGCAAGCUGUCUGGAGGUCGCUGGUCAAGGGAGUCAGGCUAUGGCCAAACCCCCGUGUUCCUCGGUCAGUGGGUGCAAGGGCACCACGAGCGGGUGAAGCCGAGCCCUGGCAUGGCAGCACAGCACACAGCACACGCAGCGCACAGAGUGCAUGCAGUGCAUGCAGCACACCCUGCCCUGUCACCACAGAGGGAACAGGCCUACAGCCCCAGUGAGCAGGCAUUACAGACACACUUUCACUGUAGGCUCAGGUGUGACGUGCUUAGGGGGAUGAAGCCCAGCACCAGCCAAUGAGUGGUGCCUAUUGCAGCUGGAAGAAUAAGGAUAAAAGGAACCAGCUGUCUAAUCUCCUAGCCUGCAGACCAGCCCAUCAUCUGGUAGAAAGCCAGCCCUGCUGGGGCUGGGCAGGGAUGUGGGAAAGAUGUUUCACAGAACUGAAAGCUGCUGUACAAGAGCAGCGCAGCCUUCCAGGAUUCUGUCCUCAGGAAGAGUGCUGCUCUCCGGGGUGGGGUGCCCACGCGGUGUGCCCAGGUGUGCAGCGCUCUGCACGCGCAGCCGAUGUGCUUCCUGCUGAGACCCGCGCCACUCGCAGCCCAGUCAGGGGGAAAGGAAGGCUUCUUUUCCUGCAGGCAGCAUUAUUAAGUGUGCAGAGCUUCACCCAAGGGACAAGGGCCUGUGAUGCUCUGGCUCUGCAGAGGAGAGUGGAUGCGCGCCUGGCUGUCCUAGUUGCCUGUGGCAUUGGACUUUUUGAUAGUAAAACAGAUGCAAAGUAA
Long non-coding RNA from Anser cygnoides (Swan goose), 785 nucleotides. Lineage: Eukaryota; Metazoa; Chordata; Aves; Anseriformes; Anatidae. The record is from Ensembl.